GUUAUAGUAGUGAUCUCAGACACGUUACCUUUUCGAGGUAAAGAGGAGUGGGACAACUACUCCUAUAAUA
RNAcentral lists this transfer RNA (70 nucleotides) under Micromelo undatus (miniature melo). RNAcentral describes it as "Micromelo undata (miniature melo) tRNA-Glu". Lineage: Eukaryota; Metazoa; Mollusca; Gastropoda; Aplustridae. The record is from RNAcentral.